AAUUUAAAAUAAAAAAAAGUAUAUAUUUAACGAAACAGAAGUAUAUAUAUUAAACUUAAAAAACUUAAAACCAAUGUAUGCAUAUAUUUAUAUAUUAAAACUAAACAGUCAAGAACAUAUAUAUUAACUUAAAAAAAAUAUAUGUAUAUACUUACAUAUAAAAAAUAGCCGUAACAUGUCUAUAUUAAAAAAAAAUAAAACAUAUCAUAUUAAAAGAAAAAACAGAAAACAAAUAUAUUAGAAAUUUAAAACAAAAGUAAGCCAUGUAUAUCCAAUAAAUUAAAGUACAUAAUGAAUAACAAAAUCAUUAAAAUAUCAAAGUAAAAAGAUUGAAAUAAGAUCUAAGAAGGGAUUUAUAAGGUGAGAGAAUUGUUUUUAUGUGAUGUUGGUAAUGUAUAGAAGUUUGAUGUAUAUUGUGUAUGGAGAAAUGAGUGUUGGUUCAUGAACAUUUUAGUGUGAGGGGUAAGUUCAUGUUUUCAGAAGAAAAAGGUGGGGUUGGAGAUUAUGAGAGAGAGGAAAAAAAUGGGAACUCAGUGAUGACUAUUAAGAGAGAUCAUGAGUCCUUCAAAAAAGUAAAGAGAUCCAUUCUUAUUCACUUUAUUUUGUUUUGGUUUAUUUCUCUUGAAAACAAAGCUACGAGUCAGUGAGGUAUACCGCCGCGGAUGCGUAUUGGCUCCGCCCAGUUCCUUUC
This 691-nucleotide long non-coding RNA is filed under the name Lathyrus oleraceus (garden pea). RNAcentral's name for it is "Pisum sativum (pea) long non-coding RNA (PSAT_LNC013427)". The record is from RNAcentral. Lineage: Eukaryota; Viridiplantae; Streptophyta; Magnoliopsida; Fabales; Fabaceae.